AAGUCGUAACAAGGUUUCCGUAGGUGAACCUGCGGAAGGAUCAUUACAAAUCGUGGCGAUUCCAUCGCCAUUUUUUUUUUCGUAUUUAAAACAUCGCUCUUGUAAAAGAAAUUAUUUUUUAAUUAAUAUAAAAAAAAAGAUCACUUUCAACAACGGAUCUCUUGGCUCUC
This 170-nucleotide unclassified non-coding RNA is filed under the name fungal sp. RNAcentral's name for it is "partial internal transcribed spacer region". The stretch from base 1 to 46 matches the Rfam family "Eukaryotic small subunit ribosomal RNA", at positions 1786 to 1831 of the family's 1831-position model. Lineage: Eukaryota; Fungi. The record is from RNAcentral.